CAGCAGCCGCGGGAAUACGUAGGUGGCAAGCGUUGUCCGGAAUUAUUGGGCGUAAAGCGCGCGCAGGUAGUUUAAUAAGUCUGAUGUGAAAGCCCACGGCUCAACCGUGGAGGGUCAUUGGAAACUGUUAAACUUGAGUGCAGGAGAGAAAAGUGGAAUUCCUAGUGUAGCGGUGAAAUGCGUAGAGAUUAGGAGGAACACCAGUGGCGAAGGCGGCUUUUUGGCCUGUAACUGACACUGAGGCGCGAAAGCGUGGGGAGCAAACGGGAUUAGAUACCCCCGUAGUCCCUGUCUCUUAUAC
Molecule: ribosomal RNA, 301 nt
Filed under: uncultured bacterium
Lineage: Bacteria
Description: partial 16S ribosomal RNA
Rfam family: Bacterial small subunit ribosomal RNA
Source: RNAcentral